This 262-nucleotide ribosomal RNA is filed under the name Xerocomellus pruinatus. Its description in RNAcentral is "5.8S ribosomal RNA". The stretch from base 11 to 165 matches the Rfam family "5.8S ribosomal RNA". Rfam says of the family: 5.8S ribosomal RNA (5.8S rRNA) is a component of the large subunit of the eukaryotic ribosome. The record is from RNAcentral. Lineage: Eukaryota; Fungi; Basidiomycota; Agaricomycetes; Boletales; Boletaceae.
AAAUAAAUACAACUUUCAGCAACGGAUCUCUUGGCUCUCGCAUCGAUGAAGAACGCAGCGAAUUGCGAUAAGUAAUGUGAAUUGCAGAUUUUCAGUGAAUCAUCGAAUCUUUGAACGCACCUUGCGCUCCUUGGUAUUCCGAGGAGCAUGCCUGUUUGAGUGUCAUUGAAUUCUCAACCAUGUCUUGAUUGAUUUCGAGGCAUGGCUUGGACUUGGGGGUUGCUGGCGGCGAAAGCGGUCGGCUCUCCUGAAAUGCAUUAGC